RNAcentral lists this ribosomal RNA (683 nucleotides) under Lactobacillus sp. oral taxon 461. RNAcentral describes it as "bacterial SSU rRNA". It matches the Rfam family "Bacterial small subunit ribosomal RNA", at positions 373 to 1047 of the family's 1533-position model. The record is from RNAcentral. Lineage: Bacteria; Bacillati; Bacillota; Bacilli; Lactobacillales; Lactobacillaceae.
GGACGCAAGUCUGAUGGAGCAACGCCGCGUGAGUGAAGAAGGUUUUCGGAUCGUAAAGCUCUGUUGUUGGUGAAGAAGGAUAGAGGUAGUAACUGGCCUUUAUUUGACGGUAAUCAACCAGAAAGUCACGGCUAACUACGUGCCAGCAGCCGCGGUAAUACGUAGGUGGCAAGCGUUGUCCGGAUUUAUUGGGCGUAAAGCGAGCGCAGGCGGAAAAAUAAGUCUAAUGUGAAAGCCCUCGGCUUAACCGAGGAAUUGCAUCGGAAACUGUUUUUCUUGAGUGCAGAAGAGGAGAGUGGAACUCCAUGUGUAGCGGUGGAAUGCGUAGAUAUAUGGAAGAACACCAGUGGCGAAGGCGGCUCUCUGGUCUGCAACUGACGCUGAGGCUCGAAAGCAUGGGUAGCGAACAGGAUUAGAUACCCUGGUAGUCCAUGCCGUAAACGAUGAGUGCUAAGUGUUGGGAGGUUUCCGCCUCUCAGUGCUGCAGCUAACGCAUUAAGCACUCCGCCUGGGGAGUACGACCGCAAGGUUGAAACUCAAAGGAAUUGACGGGGGCCCGCACAAGCGGUGGAGCAUGUGGUUUAAUUCGAAGCAACGCGAAGAACCUUACCAGGUCUUGACAUCUAGCGCCAAUCGUAGAGAUACGAUGUUCCCUUCGGGGACGCUAAGACAGGUGGUGCAUG